This 4937-nucleotide long non-coding RNA is filed under the name Arabidopsis lyrata. RNAcentral's name for it is "long non-coding RNA (ALYR_LNC002921)". Lineage: Eukaryota; Viridiplantae; Streptophyta; Magnoliopsida; Brassicales; Brassicaceae. The record is from RNAcentral.
AUGUGCAGUAUGGUGAUGUGAACGAUUUGCAAGCACCUCCGAAAAUCAGCACAUACACGGUUUGAUCUUUCCCAAUGUCAUAAAUACGUAAGAUUGUAGCACUCUUGUUUCUCAUGGUUAAUCUCCCUUUUGUAGAUUGGUACCUUCCAGUCAUCAAAAGGCGAGAGGGCAAAGCUUAAAGUGAAAGUGAGAUUGAACCUGCAUGGAAUUGUCUCAGUUGAAUCGGCAACUGUAAGUUUCUUUAAAUGUACUAUUUAAAGUCUCAUUCUCUCUAAUAACUGAUUACAAGUUGAUCAUCCAGGACCGUGCCUUCCCUUAUGAACUUAGGGAUUCGUUAAUUUAUCCUAAUCUUUUUCCUCCCCUAAAUGCAGCUUUUGGAAGAGGAAGAAGUUGAAGUUCCGGUCACAAAAGAUCAAUCAGUGGAAACUACUAAGAUGGACACUGACAAAGCUUCUGCCGAGGCAGCUCCUGCUUCUGGGGACUCUGAUGUUAACAUGCAGGACGCCAAGGAUACCAGUGAUGCAGCUGGUUCUGACAAUGGUGUUGCAGAGUCUGCUGAGAAGCCGGUGCAAAUGGAAACUGAUUUAAAGGCUAGUUUCUCUCUUAACUGAUACUGCUUGCUAUUCGCUUGUGAACAUUAGAUAAUAAUGGAUAUUUAUUAAUGGAUUGUGCAGGCUGAGGCUCCGAAGAAGAAGGUGAAGAAAACAAAUGUACCACUGUCAGAAUUGGUCUAUGGUGCCUUGAAAUCUGUGGAGGUCGAUAAGGCUGUGGAGAAGGAAUUUGAGAUGGCUUUGCAAGACAGAGUUAUGGAAGAGACCAAGGACCGAAAGAAUGCUGUUGAGUCUUAUGUUUAUGAUAUGAGAAACAAAGUGAGAAUCUUUUUUUCGUCUUUUCAUUGGCAGUAUGCAUAUGUAAAGUUGUGAGUAUGGGGUACUGACGUGUCUUGUUUUCAGUUGAGUGACAAAUACCAGGAAUAUAUCACUGAUGCUGAGAGGGAAGCAUUCCUGGCGAAGCUGCAGGAAGUGGAGGAUUGGUUGUAUGAAGAUGGGGAAGAUGAGACCAAAGGUGUUUAUGUUGCAAAGCUCGAGGAGCUCAAGAAGGUAAUGUUGCAAAGACCGUAUGAUGACACUUUAUUGUGCAGAAAAAAAAACAUUUUUGAUGUUAAUGUUUUAACAGAGGCUGGGUAUUGAUCUUUUGCAGGUGGGUGACCCUGUUGAAGUACGUUACAAAGAGUCGUUGGAAAGAGGGUCGGUCAUUGAUCAGCUUGGUUACUGUAUUAACAGCUACAGAGAGGCAGCUAUGUCUAAUGAUCCCAAGUUUGACCACAUUGAAUUGGCUGAGAAGCAAAAGGUAAGAAUUCAGCUCAUCUCGAAAGCACAGAACAAAUCGUAAAUUUAACAGGCUUGGGGAAAAUGGUUUGAUGUGUGUUUUGUUGUUGUGCAAUAAUGAAGGUUUUGAACGAGUGUGUGGAAGCAGAAGCAUGGUUGCGGGAGAAGAAGAAGCAGCAGGACACGCUUCCCAAGUAUGCCACACCGGCUCUCUUGUCAGCUGACGUUAAAAGCAAGGCGGAGGCAUUGGACAAGUAAGCAAGGAUCUUUGUAUCUGUCUCCUAAUAGAAAUGCUUGGUAUAUGUUGUAUAGAGAGUGAACCAGUCUUGGAUGUUUUGCAGGUUUUGCAGGCCUAUAAUGACCAAACCAAAGCCGGCUAAAGCAGAAGCACCACAAGCCAAGGGAGGUGAGCCGGCAGAUGAGGGCAAUAGUGAGGCAGAGCAACCAGCUUCUGCCGAACCAAUGGAGACUGAGAAUCCCGCCGAAGGUAGUGCCUAAAUGAAUGACGAGAGCGAGAUGGUGUUGUAUCGAUUUUGUUCUUACUCUUUUUUUUUAAUUUACCUAGCGGAACCUCUUUUUCUGGUUUCGCUAUUAUUCCCGGAAAAAUUCUAUAUUUUUAAUUCUUCCUUCUCGAUAACAGUUUUUAGGAAGCGUCGUUUUUCUUAUUGUUGUUACUUGUGGUUUUGUUUUUUAAUUUGAAAGUCAUUUUUUCUGCUCUUCUCUAUAAUUACUAUGGAGUCAGUGUAUACGGAUCGUUCUAUAUUGGACUGGACUGUUUAACUUUAUAUAAACAGCAAAUGAAAGUACGAUUUUGAUCUCUUAGAAGCUUAACAUCUUCUCCUAUGUGUGACGUUUAUGCGGUGGCUCACCUCUUCCUGACCAUUGGCAACAACUUCGAGGUGGUCAUCCAGGCUGAAGUUGUAUUGUUUCUAUAAUCCAAACAAGCAUAUCUUAUGUAAUACAAAUUCUGAUAACACCAGCCACUUCUCUAUAAUAAUUGUAACUUUCUUAUAAUUUUUCAGAAAUUUUAUGUGUUAAAUCAUACAACUUGACCCACCCAACCUAUUAAAUAACAAAUUUGUAGAAAUAAAAUUUGUUUUGACGGUGAUUUUAAGUAAAUUUUAUACAUUGGGUUUAAAUAAAUUAUGUAGACUCAAAGUAUACAAAAAUAUUGGGAUAAAAAAAAAAAAAAAACCUAAGAAAGCAAAAAAGAGGCAAAAAAAUAAAAUAUCACAAAAGAGAAAGGAAAUGAAAGUGUUUAGAGAAAAAGAAAAAAAAAAAAAAAAGAAAGGAGAAGAACAUUCCAGACGAACCCAAACCCUGUGGUGGUGUCUGCUCCUUAAUUAAACCUCUCUUUUGCUCUUCCUUUAUAUAUAAAAAAAAAAACUCUGGUCUCUUGCCUCUUCACUUUUUGGCUGCGACACGAUUACAGAUUAACUCACCUCACCCAGAUUUCGGUAGAAGCUUCCACCAGAACGCGAACCCCUCUCGCGAUCCAGGUAUGCUCUACUUGCAGAUCUUCUUCUAGAUCUGAUGCCUCUCUUUUUCCUCACUUAUAGUUUUUUUUUUCAAUCUAUUUUCUGGUUGCUUUCCCUCGCGGAUUACUUGUUUCAAUAAGAUUCUUCUGCUUUCGCUACUUACGGAUUUGUAGUGGGAAAUUGUCUUAGCUUCUUUUGUAUUCAAACUCCACGUAUGUAUUGGUGAUGUAAAUCCAAACUGGUGGUUUGAUUUAGGUUCAGUAAGGCUACCUGGCCUGAUUGUUCGUCUUCUCCUGUUAUCUUUCGAGCUCAAGGCUAGUCUCUUUUGAUCGCUAUUUCACAGUUUUUAAUCGGAUAGUUUUUUUCUUUUUUUUAUAUAUAUAUAUAUAAGGUAGCUCUCGAUCACGUGGGAGAAUUGAAGAACACAAAGCCUGACAAUGAGUGUAGUUGGUUUUGAUUUUGGAAACGAGAACUGCCUUGUUGCUGUUGCAAGGCAAAGAGGUAUCGACGUCGUGCUUAAUGAUGAGUCCAAUCGUGAGACUCCCGCUAUUGUCUGCUUUGGUGACAAGCAGCGCUUCAUCGGUACUGCUGGAGCUGCUUCAACCAUGAUGAACCCCAAAAAUUCCAUCUCUCAAAUCAAGCGCUUAAUUGGUCGCCAGUUUUCCGACCCUGAGCUGCAAAGGGAUAUCAAAUCCCUUCCCUUUUCCGUCACCCAAGGGCCUGAUGGCUAUCCUUUGAUCCAUGCUAGUUAUUUGGGAGAGACUAGAGCCUUUACUCCCACUCAAGUCAUGGGUAUGAUGUUGUCUAACUUGAAAGGUAUUGCCGAGAAGAAUUUGAAUGCUGCAGUGGUCGACUGCUGUAUUGGUAUUCCUGUUUACUUUACAGACCUCCAGCGAAGGGCUGUUCUCGACGCAGCCACAAUUGCAGGCUUGCAUCCCUUGCACUUGAUCCACGAGACUACAGCAACGGCUUUGGCUUAUGGAAUUUAUAAGACAGAUCUGCCAGAGAAUGACCAGCUCAAUGUUGCAUUCAUUGACAUUGGACACGCAAGCAUGCAAGUCUGUAUUGCAGGCUUCAAAAAAGGGCAGCUCAAAAUCUUGUCUCACGGUUUCGAUCCCUCCCUUGGAGGAAGGGACUUUGAUGAAGUUCUUUUCAAUCAUUUUGCUGCUAAGUUCAAAGACGAGUACAAGAUUGACGUCUCCCAGAAUGCUAAGGCUUCUCUCAGGCUCCGUGCUGCGUGCGAGAAACUCAAAAAGGUUCUAAGCGCAAAUCCUGUCGCACCAUUGAAUAUCGAGUGUUUGAUGGAUGAGAAAGAUGUUAGGGGUGUCAUCAAGAGGGAAGAGUUUGAAGAGAUCAGCAUCCCUAUUCUGGAGCGUGUUAAGAGGCCUCUAGAGCAAGCUCUCUCUGAUGCGGGCCUCACAGUUGAAGAUGUACAUAUGGUCGAGGUUGUCGGCUCUGGCUCUCGUGUCCCUGCUAUGAUCAAGAUUCUAACUGAGUUUUUUGGUAAGGAGCCCAGGCGUACAAUGAAUGCAAGUGAGUGUGUGUCGAGGGGAUGUGCCUUGCAGUGUGCCAUUCUCAGUCCGACCUUUAAAGUUCGCGAAUUCCAGGUGAUUGGUGCAUAUCUAUGCUUAAGGGAAUGUCGUUAUUUUCGUCUACUUGUAAGCAACUAGAACUGUUUACUCCAGGUUAUCUGACUAGUCAUAUUAUGAUUUUUUUUUUGUUCUCUUAAGGUUCAUGAGAGCUUCCCUUUCUCAAUUUCGCUGGCGUGGACAGGAGCAGCUUCCGAUGCUCAAAAUGGAGGAGCUGAGAAUCAGCAGAGCACUGUUGUUUUUCCCAAAGGAAAUCCCAUUCCUAGUGUCAAGGCUCUAACAUUUUAUCGUUCUGGAACAUUCUCUAUUGAUGUGCAGUACAGUGAUGUGAACGAUUUGCAAGCACCUCCAAAAAUCAGCACAUACACGGUUUGAUCUUUCCCCAAUGUCAUGACUAUGUAUGACUGUAGCACUCUUGGUUCUCAUGGUUGAUCUCCUUUUUGUAGAUUGGUCCCUUCCAGUCAUCAAAAGGCGAGAGGGCAAAGCUUAAAGUGAAAGUGAGAUUGAACCUGCAUGGAAUUGUCUCAGUUGAAUCGGCAACU